GGGAAAUUUGAGGGUGGGUGACUGAAUCCCAGGUUUUGAAGCCUCAAGCCACCCGGGCUGGGUGAGGCACGGAGAUGGAGAGGCCCAGCCACAGGCUGAAUGGGUCUAGACUUGAAGAAGGCAGGAGAGAUACCCGGCAGGGAGGGAGCAGGACGUAGGCUCGAGACCCCGGCAGGGACAGCAGCAGGUCUAGGGGCCGGCAGACCUACGGACGAGGAAUGGGACCUAGGAUGGAGAGAGGUGGGAGAAGCAAGGGCGGGGCGGGACCGGAGGGCGUCGGCGGCCAAGCCAGGCUUAGGGCUGGCGGCCGAGCAGCCUCCCCAGGGUCCCCGACCCAGCCAGAACCAGAGCCCCAAGGGCGCUUAGAUAGCGCCGCGGCCGGAGGCGCGCAGAGUACUGGGCGGCCUCCCCAGGGAAUCCUCUGGUGACGAGGGCCUGCUUUGAGGCUGAGCGUUCCUAUUCAACAGCCGGGGCUGGGCGAUCGGGGUGGGAUGAGGAAACGUGCUUUCCCGAAGGAGAGCGUGAAGCGGCCGCCGCGUCCCGGGCUGGGUUCUCAGGCCCCGAUGUCAGCUGCCCAGACCCUGUCCCCCACCUCCCUGACAACGGUCAUCCCGCCGCUGUACGACCCCGGGUCCGGCCUCCGGAGAAAUGUCCCCGGGCAGAGGGCAGCUGGCUCCGCUCUGUCCCUCCGUACACCGCCUUGGAGGCGAUGGAAGGGGUGGGGGAGGAGGCCC
RNAcentral lists this long non-coding RNA (734 nucleotides) under Marmota monax (woodchuck). The record is from RNAcentral. Lineage: Eukaryota; Metazoa; Chordata; Mammalia; Rodentia; Sciuridae.